AGCGAACGCUGGCGGCAGGCUUAACACAUGCAAGUCGAACGCUCGUAGCAAUACGGGAGUGGCAGACGGGUGAGUAACGCGUGGGAAUAUGCCUUUUGGUUCGGAAUAACUCAGGGAAACUUGAGCUAAUACCGGAUAAGCCCGUGAGGGGAAAGAUUUAUCGCCAAAAGAUUAGCCCGCGUCCGAUUAGCUAGUUGGUGAGGUAAUGGCUCACCAAGGCGACGAUCGGUAGCUGGUCUGAGAGGAUGAUCAGCCACAUUGGGACUGAGACACGGCCCAAACUCCUACGGGAGGCAGCAGUGGGGAAUAUUGGACAAUGGGCGCAAGCCUGAUCCAGCCAUGCCGCGUGAGUGAUGAAGGCCUUAGGGUUGUAAAGCUCUUUUGUCCGGGAAGAUAAUGACGGUACCGGAAGAAUAAGCCCCGGCUAACUUCGUGCCAGCAGCCGCCGCAG
This 451-nucleotide ribosomal RNA is filed under the name uncultured bacterium. Its description in RNAcentral is "partial 16S ribosomal RNA". It matches the Rfam family "Bacterial small subunit ribosomal RNA", at positions 29 to 523 of the family's 1533-position model. The record is from RNAcentral.